This 58-nucleotide transfer RNA is filed under the name Culex quinquefasciatus (southern house mosquito). It matches the Rfam family "tRNA", at positions 8 to 63 of the family's 71-position model. Rfam says of the family: Transfer RNA (tRNA) molecules are approximately 80 nucleotides in length. Their secondary structure includes four short double-helical elements and three loops (D, anti-codon, and T loops). Further hydrogen bonds mediate the characteristic L-shaped molecular structure. tRNAs have two regions of fundamental functional importance: the anti-codon, which is responsible for specific mRNA codon recognition, and the 3' end, to which the tRNAs corresponding amino acid is attached (by aminoacyl-tRNA synthetases). tRNAs cope with the degeneracy of the genetic code in two manners: having more than one tRNA (with a specific anti-codon) for a particular amino acid; and 'wobble' base-pairing, i.e. permitting non-standard base-pairing at the 3rd anti-codon position. Lineage: Eukaryota; Metazoa; Arthropoda; Insecta; Diptera; Culicidae. The record is from Rfam by way of RNAcentral.
UGAAUGAAUGGUUACGCUGUCCGCUUUGUAAGCGGAUGAUCAUGGGUUCGAUUCCCGU